This is a long non-coding RNA of Astatotilapia calliptera (eastern happy), 1688 nucleotides long. NCBI's taxonomy places the organism in Eukaryota, Metazoa, Chordata, Actinopteri, Cichliformes, Cichlidae. The record is from Ensembl.
AGCGAGGCGAAAGAAAAAUAAGCACUAACUAAACUGGUGAGAGUCGGCAGCUGCACGUUACCGGAGGAGGAUGGCGAGCUAACGGGAGAAUAGUCAAAAACAAUAGCCGUGGAUGCAGAGUCUACCGGCGAUCGUGGCUCAAGAGUUGGGAGUUCGCCUUGUAAUCGGACGGUUGCCGGUUCGAGCCUCGGCUCGGACAGUCUCGGUCGUUGUGUCCUUGGGCGAGACACUUCACCCGUUGCUGCCUACUGGUGGCGCCAGUGUCCGGCAGCCUCGCCUCUGUCAGUGCGCCCCACGGUGGCUGUGGCUGCAAUGUAGCUGCCAUCACCAGUGUGUGAAUGUGUAAAGCGCUCACAGGCUAUUUACCUUCCUGCUAUGCGCUGUUUACCCUGUGAUGAUGGAGGAAUCCUCUGGACCCUUCUGCUGUGGAUAGGAUUUCCGUGGGUUUGUCCCAGUGUACUCAGCAGCGUUGCCGGUUGCCUGCCCCUCAGCUCGCCCUCGCAUUUAGCCCAACGGAUUUGGGAGUAGACCUGAGCACGUGCGUUUUGUUUUUCUGCUUGUUUAACAAGUGAAGCGGCCGUUUGUGUGUUUUCUGGCCCAUCGAGCCCGAGCAACGACCAGGCCUGCAACGGUUUCAGUACAUGAGCUCGCAAAGGUUACAAAUCUGGACUGAACUUAAAAGGAUUGUGGGAUAAAUGUGUUUUCUAAAACAUUGACUGUGAGCGUGAAGAGAAAACAUCCAAUUGAAUUGUAAGGAAACGCUUCAGAACUUGGAAUAUUGUAUGUUUUUUUAAAUCAUACUUUAUUUUGACUAAAUACAUUUUGAAUUUAAAGUUUUGUGUCAUAAUUAUUAUUUACAGAGUUUGUAAGUGGUAACGGUUACUACAAAGUAACAACGGGUUAACAUGUUAGAUAAAUUCAUGAUUCUUAGUGAAGAUUAAACAGAACUCAUUAUUUUCACUGAGUGGAGGCACCGCCAAUAUCAAGACUUCUAAGUACAAAGGUUAAAACUGGUUAAUUGUUUCUGCUGUUUACCAGUAAAAUUAAGUAACGUACCAGGGCCCCGCUCAUAGUACUAUCAUCACCUUAACCGAGAGUUAAUCCUGAGCUAUAAAAUAAUAUAUAAAAAAAUAAAAUAUAAAAAUUAAAGUUAAAAAUGAAAUAACUUCAUUCUAAUUUGUGUUGUACAGUUAUUUCAUUUUUAACUUAAAUUUUCAUAUUUUGUUUUAUUCCUUCCUAGUUAAAUUUACCCUUUUUAAUUUUCAUAUUUAUUUCCUAUCUUAUUCAUAGCCUUUUCUUCUUUUCUUUUUUUUAGGUCACGAGCAGUUGUCUAAGCAUUUCACUGCAUAUCGUACUGUGUAUGACUGUGUACGUGACAAAUAAAAUUUGAAUUUGAGCUACGUGAGUUGGGUGCUACAUUAGUGAUGAUGCAGCGCCCCGAUGAUGGUUUGACCUCUGAGGCACCAAAAAAUAGAAAACAGUAUGAGGCUAUAAACAGGUUAAAAAGCUAAUACCAGUCCUGUGUACUUUAUCAUAGUGGAGGGUCUGUCUGCGUACAGGAUCGUUAGCACGAAGACAGAUUUUGAAAGAUGGUAAAAACAAUGAAAUCUCCAGCUUGAUGCUCCAAGCAAAACUCGACUGACUACAGUGUGGAGUUAAAGAAAGGUUAAAAAGUGUCAAACUGUGCG